This 2625-nucleotide ribosomal RNA is filed under the name Escherichia coli. RNAcentral describes it as "partial 23S ribosomal RNA". It matches the Rfam family "Bacterial large subunit ribosomal RNA", at positions 317 to 2925 of the family's 2925-position model. The record is from RNAcentral. Lineage: Bacteria; Pseudomonadati; Pseudomonadota; Gammaproteobacteria; Enterobacterales; Enterobacteriaceae.
UCAGUGUGUGUGUUAGUGGAAGCGUCUGGAAAGGCGCGCGAUACAGGGUGACAGCCCCGUACACAAAAAUGCACAUAUUGUGAGCUCGAUGAGUAGGGCGGGACACGUGGUAUCCUGUCUGAAUAUGGGGGGACCAUCCUCCAAGGCUAAAUACUCCUGACUGACCGAUAGUGAACCAGUACCGUGAGGGAAAGGCGAAAAGAACCCCGGCGAGGGGAGUGAAAAAGAACCUGAAACCGUGUACGUACAAGCAGUGGGAGCCUCUUAAUGGGGUGACUGCGUACCUUUUGUAUAAUGGGUCAGCGACUUAUAUUCUGUAGCAAGGUUAACCGAAUAGGGGAGCCGAAGGGAAACCGAGUCUUAACUGGGCGUUAAGUUGCAGGGUAUAGACCCGAAACCCGGUGAUCUAGCCAUGGGCAGGUUGAAGGUUGGGUAACACUAACUGGAGGACCGAACCGACUAAUGUUGAAAAAUUAGCGGAUGACUUGUGGCUGGGGGUGAAAGGCCAAUCAAACCGGGAGAUAGCUGGUUCUCCCCGAAAGCUAUUUAGGUAGCGCCUCGUGAAUUCAUCUCCGGGGGUAGAGCACUGUUUCGGCAAGGGGGUCAUCCCGACUUACCAACCCGAUGCAAACUGCGAAUACCGGAGAAUGUUAUCACGGGAGACACACGGCGGGUGCUAACGUCCGUCGUGAAGAGGGAAACAACCCAGACCGCCAGCUAAGGUCCCAAAGUCAUGGUUAAGUGGGAAACGAUGUGGGAAGGCCCAGACAGCCAGGAUGUUGGCUUAGAAGCAGCCAUCAUUUAAAGAAAGCGUAAUAGCUCACUGGUCGAGUCGGCCUGCGCGGAAGAUGUAACGGGGCUAAACCAUGCACCGAAGCUGCGGCAGCGACACUAUGUGUUGUUGGGUAGGGGAGCGUUCUGUAAGCCUGUGAAGGUGGCCUGUGAGGGUUGCUGGAGGUAUCAGAAGUGCGAAUGCUGACAUAAGUAACGAUAAAGCGGGUGAAAAGCCCGCUCGCCGGAAGACCAAGGGUUCCUGUCCAACGUUAAUCGGGGCAGGGUGAGUCGACCCCUAAGGCGAGGCCGAAAGGCGUAGUCGAUGGGAAACAGGUUAAUAUUCCUGUACUUGGUGUUACUGCGAAGGGGGGACGGAGAAGGCUAUGUUGGCCGGGCGACGGUUGUCCCGGUUUAAGCGUGUAGGCUGGUUUUCCAGGCAAAUCCGGAAAAUCAAGGCUGAGGCGUGAUGACGAGGCACUACGGUGCUGAAGCGACAAAUGCCCUGCUUCCAGGAAAAGCCUCUAAGCAUCAGGUAACAUCAAAUCGUACCCCAAACCGACACAGGUGGUCAGGUAGAGAAUACCAAGGCGCUUGAGAGAACUCGGGUGAAGGAACUAGGCAAAAUGGUGCCGUAACUUCGGGAGAAGGCACGCUGAUAUGUAGGUGAAGCGACUUGCUCGUGGAGCUGAAAUCAGUCGAAGAUACCAGCUGGCUGCAACUGUUUAUUAAAAACACAGCACUGUGCAAACACGAAAGUGGACGUAUACGGUGUGACGCCUGCCCGGUGCCGGAAGGUUAAUUGAUGGGGUUAGCGGUAACGCGAAGCUCUUGAUCGAAGCCCCGGUAAACGGCGGCCGUAACUAUAACGGUCCUAAGGUAGCGAAAUUCCUUGUCGGGUAAGUUCCGACCUGCACGAAUGGCGUAAUGAUGGCCAGGCUGUCUCCACCCGAGACUCAGUGAAAUUGAACUCGCUGUGAAGAUGCAGUGUACCCGCGGCAAGACGGAAAGACCCCGUGAACCUUUACUAUAGCUUGACACUGAACAUUGAGCCUUGAUGUGUAGGAUAGGUGGGAGGCUUUGAAGUGUGGACGCCAGUCUGCAUGGAGCCGACCUUGAAAUACCACCCUUUAAUGUUUGAUGUUCUAACGUGGGCCCCUUACCGGGGUUGCGGACAGUGUCUGGUGGGUAGUUUGACUGGGGCGGUCUCCUCCUAAAGAGUAACGGAGGAGCACGAAGGUUGGCUAAUCCUGGUCGGACAUCAGGAGGUUAGUGCAAUGGCAUAAGCCAGCUUGACUGCGAGCGUGACGGCGCGAGCAGGUGCGAAAGCAGGUCAUAGUGAUCCGGUGGUUCUGAAUGGAAGGGCCAUCGCUCAACGGAUAAAAGGUACUCCGGGGAUAACAGGCUGAUACCGCCCAAGAGUUCAUAUCGACGGCGGUGUUUGGCACCUCGAUGUCGGCUCAUCACAUCCUGGGGCUGAAGUAGGUCCCAAGGGUAUGGCUGUUCGCCAUUUAAAGUGGUACGCGAGCUGGGUUUAGAACGUCGUGAGACAGUUCGGUCCCUAUCUGCCGUGGGCGCUGGAGAACUGAGGGGGGCUGCUCCUAGUACGAGAGGACCGGAGUGGACGCAUCACUGGUGUUCGGGUUGUCAUGCCAAUGGCACUGCCCGGUAGCUAAAUGCGGAAGAGAUAAGUGCUGAAAGCAUCUAAGCACGAAACUUGCCCCGAGAUGAGUUCUCCCUGACUCCUUGAGAGUCCUGAAGGAACGUUGAAGACGACGACGUUGAUAGGCCGGGUGUGUAAGCGCAGCGAUGCGUUGAGCUAACCGGUACUAAUGAACCGUGAGGCUUAACCUU